RNAcentral lists this long non-coding RNA (1128 nucleotides) under Ursus thibetanus thibetanus. Its description in RNAcentral is "lncRNA (ENSUTTG00000003716.1)". The record is from RNAcentral. Lineage: Eukaryota; Metazoa; Chordata; Mammalia; Carnivora; Ursidae.
AGAUAAAUGACUUGCUUGGAUAGGUAGUUAUGCAUCAACCUUAAUGAUAAUUGUGCACAAAACAAAUUUAAAAAAAAUCCCAACAGAAAAUUUUCAGCACAACCCUGGCCAGCUUGCUUGAGCCCAAAGCCAGCUUAAGAGAGCUGUGGAAUCAACUGUCUUGUAAUGUUUGCAAACUAGAAGAAAGUAGCCCAUGAGCUUUGGCAAAGCACGGAAGUUGUAAUUCUGCGCGCAAGGUAUGCAGUUGAAAAGGACAGAGGCAGUGUGUUUUGAUGAGCGAGGAAUCAGACUUCGGUCCCAGUCCUACAAAACACCGAUCAUCACCUAAGGCAAAUCCUUGGCUUUGCUUUCCUCCAAAGAACCGAGAAGGGGUGACAUGCCAAGCAGCCAUGUAGGAGCCCGUGUGGAAGAGGACAAAACCCCAAUCUGCUCAUGAGUCUGAGCCACUCCCUCAAGACGAAGGUCAGAAACAAAGCAGAUUUGGGAGGCUACAAUCAAGGUCAUUUGAGAAGUGGGACCCAGUGCAUUACCAUUACCUGCGGGUGUCCACAAAGAAAUUUACCGACGUGGGAAAGGCUAGAUAAUGAGAAUGCUCCAUAAGGAGGCACUGAAUUUCACCAGGGAGAAAUGCAUCUAAGUUGCUUCACAAACGUUAAGAAAUAUAUCUACGUAAUUGUAUGUUGCAUUUUCCGUGGUCUUUGCUUUGUUCAUUUCAUGUGCAGUGAUUAAAAAGAGAUAUUGUACAUUUUAUUAUCUCUUAUGUUUUCCAAUAAAUACAAACCUGGAGUGCUUUUUUUUUUCUUUUUCAUUCUUCUCAGAGGUGUGGUGAACACUGAAUAAGAUAAUAAUUUUGAAAUACUAAUGUCUUGUCCGUUUGGGCAGCUGUAACAAAAUACCACAGACUGAGUGGCUUAUGGAUAAUAGAAAUUUAUUUCUCAGAGUUCUAGAGGCCAGAAGUCUGAAAUCAGGGCUGGCAUGUCAGGUGAGAGCUCUCUUUCGGGUUACAGAUUUCUUGUAUCCUCAGGAGCCCUUUUUAUAAUCACCUUCCAAAGGCCCCACCUCCUAAUACCAUCACUUUUAGGGGUAAGAAUUUGACGUAUGAAUUUUGGGAGGACACACUCUGUGAGA